GCACUGGGGGACAUGCAUGUUCUCUCACACACACAAAUGAACCUCCAGGUUAGAAGUUUACAAAAAUAAUUAACAAAAAGAAUCCAAAUAACCAAAAAAAUACAGAGAAGGACAUAAUUUGCUGUCGCUGUAUGACAGAGGAAUCAGCCUGACUCAUCAAUUAACAAUGGUAACACAAUCUGAACAGUUAGUUGUUUGGUGACUUCGUUAUGCAGGCAUCAUUCAGGGCUCAUCCAGAGUGGAUAUGACGUCCCUUGGUCACUAGGCCACUCUUGGUUUUUGUGUUUUGUUUUUUUUGUUUUUUUUAAAGACCAGAGCUCCUAUGUACCCCUGGGUUGGUCUAAAACUCACUACAUAGGCCAGGCUGGUCUGGAACUCAGAAGUGUGUCUGCCUCUGUCUUUGGUGCUGGGAUUAAAGGUGUGUAGCACCACACAUGGCAAGGCUAUUCCAUCUUAAGAAACCACCAUUUUUUUCUAUGUGUGCUACACCACAUGGCCCAGGACUGUCUGUGCACACACAAACAAAACAUGCACACGUUGUAAAGACAGUACAAAGACACUUUUCAUAAAGUGUUUGAUUUCCUACAUAUUUUAGGAUGAGCCUCAAGAAAAUAUUGAGGGUGGCUACCUCAGGAGGGUUUCUUUGUAUAACAGCACUGGCUAUCCUGGCACUGACUUUGUAGACCAAGCUGGCCUCCAACUCACAGAGAUCCACCUGCCUCUGCCUGCCGAGUGCUGUGAUCAAAGGUGUGUGCCAACACCAUCCGGUCCUUCAUUUUUUCUUGAAAGGCAGAAAUGCUUAUUCCCUUCCAAGCUUCAUGAAUAAAUGUAGGGUUUUUUGUAUUUAUCUAAUUGCUUAUUGCAGUGUUGGGGGUUGAACCCAGUACUUGCCGUGCUAGGCAAGCAGUGACUAUUGAGCGACACCUCAACCUUAACAAGCUUGAUUUUUAAAACUCUGGCAUCUGCUACAUAUUACUUAACUAUACCCGAUGUACAAAGACAGGUAUAUUCUGUUUUAGUUUUACAUUUCAGAGGUCCUUUAACGUAUAUAAACGUAAUACGUAUAUAUAACGUAUAAUGUAUAUAUAUAACAUACAAAACUGUACCAGUUUUAAAGAGAAGAAAGCAUUCCCUUUCUUGUUAGACAGAUGUUCACGUAUCCCAGGCUGGCCUGAAACUCCCUUAGGUGGCUGGGGGGACCUUCAACCUCUGAUCCCCCUGCCUCUCUAUCGCUAG
RNAcentral lists this long non-coding RNA (1236 nucleotides) under Cricetulus griseus (Chinese hamster). Its description in RNAcentral is "lncRNA (ENSCGRG00015033328.1)". The record is from RNAcentral. Lineage: Eukaryota; Metazoa; Chordata; Mammalia; Rodentia; Cricetidae.